Molecule: ribosomal RNA, 274 nt
Filed under: uncultured bacterium
Lineage: Bacteria
Description: partial 16S ribosomal RNA
Rfam family: Bacterial small subunit ribosomal RNA
Source: RNAcentral
AUACGGAGGGUGCAAGCGUUACUCGGAAUCACUGGGCGUAAAGCGCGCGCAGGCGACCUGAUAAGUUGGAUGUGAAAGCCUACGGCUCAACCGUAGAACUGCAUCCAAAACUGUCAGGCUAGAGUGUGGGAGAGGAAGAUGGAAUUAGUUGUGUAGGGGUAAAAUCCGUAGAGAUAACUAGGAAUACCAAAAGCGAAGGCAAUCUUCUGGAACACUACUGACGCUGAGGCGCGAAGGCGUGGGGAGCAAACAGGAUUAGAAACCCGGGUAGUCC